CCGGCGACCGGCGCACGGGUGAGUAACACGUAUGCAACCUGCCCUCUUCAGGGGGCAACCUUCCGAAAGGGAGGCUAAUCCCGCGUAUAUCGGUUUCGGGCAUCCGAGAUCGAGGAAAGAUUCAUCGGAAGAGGAUGGGCAUGCGGCGCAUUAGCUAGACGGCGGGGUAACGGCCCACCGUGGCGACGAUGCGUAGGGGUUCUGAGAGGAAGGUCCCCCACACUGGUACUGAGACACGGACCAGACUCCUACGGGAGGCAGCAG
Molecule: ribosomal RNA, 264 nt
Filed under: uncultured bacterium
Lineage: Bacteria
Description: partial 16S ribosomal RNA
Rfam family: Bacterial small subunit ribosomal RNA
Source: RNAcentral